UGGAUGGAGCUAGAAGUGA
This 19-nucleotide non-coding RNA is filed under the name Arabidopsis thaliana (thale cress). Lineage: Eukaryota; Viridiplantae; Streptophyta; Magnoliopsida; Brassicales; Brassicaceae. The record is from RNAcentral.